ACCCGGCGGUUGGCGCCGUUAGUCUCGCGGAGUGGAGCCUGUCGGUGUUCCUUGUUCUGAACGCCCGCCCUAUCGCCAUACAGUGGAUAAACCGCUCUCUGGUUAGGGUGGGACGACUGCAAGGAGGCCCCGCCUGGCCCGGCCUCCGGGUAGAGGGCACUGCUCAGGGCGCAGAAACCUGUUGAAGCCACGGCAGCAAGCCAGUGAGGAAACUGCUAGGACCCCCAGGCGAGGAUGUAGGCAGGUGGAGAACGAGCCGGUUCAUCCAUGAAACUGUCCCAAGGGCUUACCGAGCCUGUGCACUUCUAAAUUGCACAUCAAACCCGAGGUGGAGACUUGGGGAGAGUACCAUACAAGCUGCCAGGAGGCUGGAACCUGGCGCCUACUCCGGAGUCUAGCUUCCUUCUGAAAUACCCAGGAAGGUCUGCGAAGGAUAAAUGGUUCUCCACUUUUGUCUGAAUUGUUCAAGGCCAUGGAGCAACUCGUUAGAAUCGGAGCCACAGUCAGGAGACCCAUCUACACCUCAGCUGCUGUAUGGACGAAACCUCUUUCUUGCCUACAGUUCUUUUUCUCUCCUAGGAUGGUUGUGGCACCUUGGAGACAGACCCAGGAGCCAAAGUCAUAGAACAGGCCAGGGUCUGGCCACCUGUGGACCUCCUGUCCAUGCCCAUAACCAAAGACCACCAGGAACAAA
Molecule: long non-coding RNA, 694 nt
Organism: Felis catus (domestic cat)
Lineage: Eukaryota; Metazoa; Chordata; Mammalia; Carnivora; Felidae
Exons: 3
Source: RefSeq, a predicted model, not a curated record